CCUGGCUCAGGAUGAACGCUGGCGGCGUGCCUAACACAUGCAAGUCGAACGGAGCAUUAUAUUGGAAGUUUUCGGAUGGAAGAUGUGAUGCUUAGUGGCGGACGGGUGAGUAACGCGUGGGUAACCUGCCUCAUAGAGGGGGAUAACAGUCUGAAAAGAUUGCUAAUACCGCAUAAGCAUACGGUGCCGCAUGGCACAGUGUGAAAAGAUUUAUCGCUAUGAGAUGGACCCGCGUCUGAUUAGCCAGUUGGUGGGGUAACGGCCUACCAAAGCAACGAUCAGUAGCCGACCUGAGAGGGUGAUCGGCCACAUUGGGACUGAGACACGGCCCAAACUCCUACGGGAGGCAGCAGUGGGGAAUAUUGCACAAUGGGGGAAACCCUGAUGCAGCGACGCCGCGUGAGUGAAGAAGUAUUUCGGUAUGUAAAGCUCUAUCAGCAGGGAAGAUAAUGACAGUACCUGACUAAGAAGCCCCGGCUAACUACGUGCC
This 490-nucleotide ribosomal RNA is filed under the name uncultured bacterium. Its description in RNAcentral is "bacterial SSU rRNA". It matches the Rfam family "Bacterial small subunit ribosomal RNA", at positions 18 to 509 of the family's 1533-position model. The record is from RNAcentral.